RNAcentral lists this ribosomal RNA (468 nucleotides) under uncultured bacterium. Its description in RNAcentral is "partial 16S ribosomal RNA". It matches the Rfam family "Bacterial small subunit ribosomal RNA", at positions 28 to 507 of the family's 1533-position model. The record is from RNAcentral.
GACGAACGCUGGCGGCGUGCUUAACACAUGCAAGUCGAACGGAAAGGCCCUGCUUUUGUGGGGUGCUCGAGUGGCGAACGGGUGAGUAACACGUGAGUAACCUGCCCUUGACUUUGGGAUAACUUCAGGAAACUGGGGCUAAUACCGGAUAGGAGCUCCUGCUGCAUGGUGGGGGUUGGAAAGUUUCGGCGGUUGGGGAUGGACUCGCGGCUUAUCAGCUUGUUGGUGGGGUAGUGGCUUACCAAGGCUUUGACGGGUAGCCGGCCUGAGAGGGUGACCGGCCACAUUGGGACUGAGAUACGGCCCAGACUCCUACGGGAGGCAGCAGUGGGGAAGAUUGCACAAUGGGCGGAAGCCUGAUGAAGCAACGCCGCGUGCGGGAUGACGGCCUUCGGGUUGUAAACCGCUUUCGCCUGUGACGAAGCGUGAGUGACGGUAAUGGGUAAAGAAGCACCGGCUAACUACGUG